Long non-coding RNA from Salvia splendens (bonfire salvia), 610 nucleotides. RefSeq lists it as uncharacterized. The transcript is spliced from 2 exons. Lineage: Eukaryota; Viridiplantae; Streptophyta; Magnoliopsida; Lamiales; Lamiaceae. The record is from RefSeq and is a predicted model, not a curated record.
AAUACUCUCUCCUCCCUCCACCAUAAAUAAAUACCCACCCGCAAUUUCCCACCUAUUUUCCGCGAAGAAUUUCACGCCUUCAAUCAGAUUCAAUUCCAGUUACUCUCUGAUUCAUCGCGGAAAUUAACUACUCUAUCUCAAUCAAUGAUGAAGAAAUCCGGCGCCAUCGCCGCCUCCGUCGCCGCUUCCGCCACCGCGAUCUCGUCGGCGUCGUCUGCCAAAUUUCACUUCCCUCGCGAGGAUGAUCGGGCGGAGAAACACACCGAGAAGUCUGCAUCACAGGGAUCGUCUUCUUCGGAAAAAUUCGCGCCGAGGUUUGAUGGAUUGAGAUUCAUAGAGACGCUGGUGACAGCUCAUAGAUAAGAUCAUCUGCGCGUUUCUAAUUUUUUUUCCUCUUCUUUUUCCCUAUUUUUGGUCCAAGUAAUUAAUUAAAAGGUUUGGAUGUUGAGUAUUACAAGGGACCGGAUGAUUUGUAGGCUAAUUUGGCGUUAUUAGGUUGAUUUAUAUUGUUGUAUCAUUGCUCUGUAUUGAUGUCGUUUUGACUGAGCUUAUAAGCUUCUGAGAAGUGUUUGACAAAAUAAACUUAUGAAUAGCUUAUAAUUUUUGAAAA